Molecule: ribosomal RNA, 393 nt
Filed under: Eukaryota sp.
Lineage: Eukaryota
Description: partial small subunit ribosomal RNA
Rfam family: Eukaryotic small subunit ribosomal RNA
Source: RNAcentral
AUUCCAGCUCCAAUAGCGUAUAUUAAAGUUGUUGCAGUCAAAAAGCUCGUAGUUGGAUUUCUGGCGAGGCUUGGUCGGUCGGCGCUUAGCGUGUGAACCGUGUCGAGCCUUGCCAUCCUGAGGAAGAACCUUGUUGGCAUUAAGUUGUCGACUUGGGUACUCCUCUCGUUUACUGUGAAAAAAUUAGAGUGCUCAAAGCAGGCUUAUUAUGCCGUGAAUAGUCCAGCAUGGAAUAAUAAGAUAGGACCUCGGUGCUAUUUUGUUGGUUUGCGCACCAAGGUAAUGAUUAAUAGGGACAGUUGGGGGCAUUCAUAUUCCAUUGUCAGAGGUGAAAUUCUUGGAUUAACGGAAGAUGAACUUCUGCGAAAGCAUCUGCCAAGGAUGUUUUCAUUA